This 20-nucleotide ribosomal RNA is filed under the name Fusarium oxysporum. Its description in RNAcentral is "partial 28S ribosomal RNA". The record is from RNAcentral. Lineage: Eukaryota; Fungi; Ascomycota; Sordariomycetes; Hypocreales; Nectriaceae. RNAcentral also lists the same sequence under 8 other names.
UUGACCUCGGAUCAGGUAGA